RNAcentral lists this ribosomal RNA (428 nucleotides) under uncultured bacterium. Its description in RNAcentral is "partial 16S ribosomal RNA". It matches the Rfam family "Bacterial small subunit ribosomal RNA", at positions 354 to 796 of the family's 1533-position model. The record is from RNAcentral.
GUGGGGAAUAUUGGGCAAUGGGCGAAAGCCUGACCCAGCAACGCCGCGUGAGGGAAGAAGGUUUUCGGAUUGUAAACCUCUGUCCUUGGUGACGAACACAAUGACGGUAGCCAAGGAGGAAGCCCCGGCUAACUACGUGCCAGCAGCCGCGGUAAUACGUAGGGGGCAAGCGUUGUCCGGAAUGACUGGGCGUAAAGGGCGUGUAGGCGGCCGAUUAAGUCUGGAGUGAAAGUCCUGCUUUCAAGGUGGGAAUUGCUUUGGAGACUGGUUGGCUUGAGUGCGGAAGAGGCAAGUGGAAUUCCCAGUGUAGCGGUGAAAUGCGUAGAGAUUGGGAGGAACACCAGUGGCGAAGGCGACUUGCUGGGCCGUAACUGACGCUGAGGCGCGAAAGCGUGGGGAGCAAACAGGAUUAGAAACCCGGGUAGUCC